UACAGAGGGUGCGAGCGUUAAUCGGAAUUACUGGGCGUAAAGCGCGCGCAGGCGGCUAUCCAAGUCAGUGGUGAAAGCCCGGAGCUCAACUCCGGAACUGCCAUUGAAACUGUUUAGCUUGAGGACGAGAGAGGUGAGUGGAAUUCCCAGUGUAGAGGUGAAAUUCGUAGAUAUUGGGAAGAACACCAGUGGCGAAGGCGGCUCACUGGCUCGUAUCUGACGCUCAGGCGCGAUAGCGUGGGGAUCAAACAGG
This 253-nucleotide ribosomal RNA is filed under the name uncultured bacterium. RNAcentral's name for it is "partial 16S ribosomal RNA". It matches the Rfam family "Bacterial small subunit ribosomal RNA", at positions 524 to 776 of the family's 1533-position model. The record is from RNAcentral.